This 422-nucleotide unclassified non-coding RNA is filed under the name Hevea brasiliensis (rubber tree). Lineage: Eukaryota; Viridiplantae; Streptophyta; Magnoliopsida; Malpighiales; Euphorbiaceae. The record is from RNAcentral.
AAUUUUUUUCUUGCAAAUGAUUUUUUUCCAAAGGAAGCCAAUAAAGGAGAAGGAAAGGGACCUACUAAUAGAAUAACCUUAUAUAGUGUUUCAACUAUAAAAUGUUUGCAAUAUUUUUUACUUCAAAGAUGAUGAAUGAGAUAUUUUAUGGGUUUAUACAUUCUCAUGCUGUAAUUGACAUUGAUCUUGUCUACCUAUCCAUGACUAAGGGAAAAAUGUCAUAUCAAAAAAUCACUUAAUUUAAAAGCACAAACUUGCAUGUGAGGACCUCAAAAAUAGUUUUAUAUCCCUAAUAAAUAUAAACCAUUCUUUUUAAGGAGUGAAAAUAAAUAUUUUAUAAUUAUUUGUUUAUUUUAGUUAUCUUUGCUCAUUAUUCUUUAUUUUCAUUAUAUAUUUUUUAGGCUUGAAUCAGAAUUAAGUGA